Long non-coding RNA from Cyprinus carpio carpio, 3349 nucleotides. The record is from Ensembl. NCBI's taxonomy places the organism in Eukaryota, Metazoa, Chordata, Actinopteri, Cypriniformes, Cyprinidae.
GUCCUCUUCUGACUACACACCAUUCACAUACUCUGGUCUGGAACAUCAACAACAGACACAUGCAGAGUGAUACAGAUGGUGAUAGUGUAAUACUAAAUACCAACACUCCUGGAAUGCAGCUUGGUUCACCUAAAAGAAAAGAAGAUAUCAUGGUGGCAGUUGAUGUGAUGACUCUCAGUAGAAGGCCUUCCAUAAAGCACAAGACCUCAGACUCUCUGAAGACGAUGCAACGAGAAUUGAAUCCACAUCCUGGCACUGUUCUUAAGGAGCCGAGUCCUUUGAUAAGAUCCCUUUUCCUCGACUGCAUCUGCAGCUUCUUUUUUUCUACAAAUAAACAUAUUAAACGGAAGAAAAAUGGAAACUUGGAAAAAUGGAGACUUAUAUCAGAAAAGGAACCUUGGAAAGGUUAAAUUUUCGGCUAAAAAAAAGAAAAAAAAAACAUCAGUGCAUGCUGUUGUGAUUACUGGGGCCACACUCAGCAUCUUUAUAGAUAGCUUUUUCCCAACAUUGUAAUUAUCGCAAGCAGGUUUAGACUAUAUCUCCUUUUUUGAGUUCCAUCUUUUCAAGUAAAUUAAUUAACAUAUAACUAAAUAUAUGUCCCAAAACUGGCAAUGAUUUUUCCCCCCUUUUCUUAGCAAUCCCAUAAUCACGUUAUAUAAAUAUAGGUUAGAUUAAAGGGGUCAUAUGAUAGAAUUUCAAGUUUUCCUGUCUCUCUGGAGUGUUACAAGCUGUUCAUGCAUAGAUUAGAUCCACGCAAAGAAAGAAGGCGUAACUUUGAUUCCCGCUGUAGUAUUGUUGCUGCCGCCGCCGCCGCCAUGUCUUGGACACGCUGUGUGUUUCCUUGUGGAAGUGAAAGUUUGGUCUUCCAAAAGAGGACACAACUAGAAAUCAGUGGUUAAGUUGUAUUUACAACACUGUUCCAGAACAGUUCAAACCAAAUAUUCAGAUUUGUGCACCCCAUUUUACGUUGACUGUUUCCUGAACCUGGGAGAGUAGCCUACAAUGCGUCUAAGCACAAAAGUUGUUUAUAUAAAGUGGGGCAAAUUCCAAAUUUGCAAGGACAGUCUGGCGCUUCUGACUCACAGCCUGUUUUUAUAUUUAAAUAAUUUGCCACUAAUGAUUCAAAUGCGAGUUUUAAGCAGUGUAGAGUAAAUAAUGUUAUUUUUAGCAAUUUCAUAUGACCCCUUUAAUUUAUACAAUAAAAGCUUGUAAAUCUAUACAAAUACAGCAAAUCUGAGCAAAACUUUGAAUAGAAAAUUGAUUAGUUCUCUAUAUAAAGGAAAAGAGACAGAUUUCAUUCCUUUAUUUACUUUAACCACUGAGAAUUUAUACAACAUCCACUGGUUCGACCAACACUUUCUUAAUCCCAACUCAACACAUGUGGAUGAUUGGUCAGGACCCCUUUGGAGUCACUUUGUAAUGCUCUGUGAUAUCUUUAGCAUUGUUUUUCGACAUAUAAUGUUGCUUUCAAUCGUUUUCUAUUGUUUUAUAUUGAGAAAUGGUUAGGUUUAGAAGUGAGGGUUGGGUUAAAUGCUCAAAAAUAUCUAAAUAGUGUAAUGGAAAUAAAAUGAUUGUGGCUGUUGAAAAUCAUACCUCAGCAUAUGUCAUAAUGACAAAAUUAUAACCCAAUAUAGGCGUAUAGUUUUAUGACAAUAAAAUGCCAUUAGAAUCUCUGUUUUGAUUACAAAGUUUUCUCAUUGAAAGCAAUGGAACCCUGCACGUUGGAAAAUUACACUGAAGGGGUACCCAGUGUUUUAAAAAGUGGCGCCAAGUGGUCCUGAUCAAGUGUCCAUACUGUACAUGACAAGGUGGAAGUGAGAAUGUGUUGGUUCAGUUGAAUUUAUUAUAGGAUAACAAUAUGGACACCUUCCCUUCUGGAGUGAUUUUUUGUUUUUUGUUUUCCCUUCCUCCUUUCUUCAUGAUACUCUCAUCUUUCUGCACAAAAUAGAGAGAGAGAGGUUUUGACACAGUGUGGCCCUCUAUGACCCUAUGGCUGACCCGUUACCCUGCAUUAGCAGGAUGUGGGUGAUUUUGGACCUCCUGGAGGAAAAUCCUUCAAAAACAAUCUGAAUUCACUCAACUCUGGGACAGUGGCCAAUGCUGAGCUGGUGAAUGAAUUAGCAUCAUUGCCUUUCUGAGUUUAACCAAUGCAGCCCAAUUUUGUAAAGGAUUAGAUUGUAGUAUACACAAGCAUAAAAAAAAAAAAAAAAAAUUGAUUAGAAAAAAAAAACACUUGGCUGGUUCUGCAGAUGUGGUGUGUUUGAAGAUGCAUGAAGUGCACGCAAACACGUAGACAACUUUCUGAGGACCUUCAUCAUCCCCAACACCUUCUUUUUCCUUUUUGUAAAGUGCUUAUCUUUCAAAGACCAACCCAACCAAUCCAUUAGCAUGAGUCCAUACACACCACACAAAUUUACACUUUGACUAAACUGUAAAUGCUUUGGCUGGAACCACAGCUUACUAAAAAGAGUGGAAACAAAGAGUUUUGGUUAUGUAAAUAAUGUAAACUAUUUCCAAUAGCAAUCUGCAUGCUGAUGCAUAGCUGAAAGAGUACUGGAAGAUUGGUCAAAGGCAAAAACUACAUUGUAGAUUUCAUGUAGCCUCUCUUAGCAGCACAUAGGGAAAAUGUGAAGUGCGAUAGUCCAAUUAACCAGUAGCACACAAAAUGGUGUGGGGCAGCUUGCCAAAAGCCAUCUAUUUUUCUGGUGUCACAAGGGAUUUAUACAUCUCAAUGAGUCACUUGCUAGUUUCAGCUAGUUUGCUUUGAGAGUGAAGUAGCUCAGCUCCACACUGGACUUCAGGGAAUCAACAGAUUGGAGGUGUUCUGAAUUACAGCUUUGACCAUUAUCUACAUCACAACAAUAUCUAUGAUUCACACUUGUACCUUACUAUAGCAGACUUGAUCCAGAUGGGAAUUUAAUACUGCCCAAUUUUUGAUUUCUAAAAGAUUCAAAAUCCUUAUUCCUAUGCCAUAAUUCUAUGUUGAUUGCAACAAUAAUUGGUGGCAGAUCAGAUCAUUGCAAGAACACAUACCUUUCUUGUUUGUUUGACAUGAAAAAUACCAUCAAAUCAAUCCAACUUAUUAAUUUUAUUUAUUUAUUAACCAAAUAAUUAUAUAUAUAUAUAUAUAUAUAUAUAUAUAUAUAUAUAUAUAUAUAUAUAUAUAUAUAUAUAUAUAUAUGCCUUUUUAUCUUAUUAUGUUUUAUUAGGUUUAUCUAUAUUAGCUGCAACGCUACGGCAUCAUAAGUAAUGUACUCUUCAAUUGAAUAAUAUAGGCAUUCUGGUAAAAUACCAAGUAGAGCAAAGAUGAUUAAAUAAAUAAAAUAAUAUAUAUAUAUAUAUAUAUAUA